UAUUCAUAAUGGAAAGCUAUAUGCUUUUCUGGUAGGAAUUGGGAUGCUUCUGGAAUGUGGAUCAUCUACCACAGUCUGCAUUUCGUGUGCUACCCUGUAAGAUUGGUAUUUUAAUUUUGGCUUAAUUAUGUGCAUGCUCUCUGUGUUUUCAAAUUUAUCUCAGAUUACCACCUGUGUUUGCAAACGUCUCAAAGUACCCCCCCAAUCUUUUAAAAAACCGUCUCACAUUACCCAUUCCGUCAAUUUUUUUGAUGUUCCGUUUUCUCCUCCUUCCCCCCCCCCAAAAUCCAGAACUGCAGCCCCUCCCAUUUGUUACUGUUUAUCCGAUCAGUUUUUGGGCCGCCAUCUCCUCCUCCGGCCCACCCAUGCGAUGGCAUGGGUAUCAAAAGAACCAGCACGUUGUCCUCUACCAUCCUCACAUCUCAGCCGCUGCCAACCGCCGUCUGGAUUGCCGGAAAAAGCAAGAAAUUGGCCAGUUUUUACCCAAAAUAUCCAUCGCUCGUUCGGGCGAUUCCGAGCACCAUUUGCUUCGAUCCAGUCUUAUCAAACGAAAACAUAAUGAAGAAGUCAAAGAAGUGAGCACAACAACAAUACAGAGACCGAGAAAAUUACAAGAGAUGAAGAACAAAAGUGGGUUCUUCCAACCACUAGAAAGAAUCUCUCUCUUCUCAACCCAAAUUCUCAAUAGAGAAUCCCCAAUUACACCCAUGACUCGCAGGUUCACAAGUCCUAAACCAUACACCCUAAAAUUAGGGGGGGAAAACAAGGGCUAACCGGCUAAAAAAAAGCUACAAAACAAGGUGGGAAAGACCAAAAAGAGCUACAAAAUCAUUUACAAGGCAACUUUAGAAAACAAAACUGCAUCCGCGUGGCUCGAGCAGUUUUGCAACAUCACGAAAUCGUUCUCUCUGGACUGGAAAAUGUAGCUGGAGAACUGGUGCAUAUCCACUCAAUUGGAUUUUCUGCAGAAUAUUCCCUCGCACUUUUCUUGAGCUGAUUAAGCACUUGGGCUCCAUGAUUGAGCAAACUAACUUCUUUUCCUCGGCAAAUUCACUUCUUUUUUAUUUUUUACAAAA
Non-coding RNA from Prunus avium (sweet cherry), 1076 nucleotides. NCBI's taxonomy places the organism in Eukaryota, Viridiplantae, Streptophyta, Magnoliopsida, Rosales, Rosaceae. The record is from RefSeq and is a predicted model, not a curated record.